Molecule: ribosomal RNA, 414 nt
Filed under: uncultured microorganism
Description: bacterial SSU rRNA
Rfam family: Archaeal small subunit ribosomal RNA
Source: RNAcentral
GCGCAGCAGGCGCGAAAACUUCACACUGUGCGAAAGCACGAUGAGGGAAUCCCAAGUGCUUGCACGUAAGUGUAAGCUGUUUCUCUGUCUAAAACGCAGAGAGAGUAAGGGCUGGGUAAGACGGGUGCCAGCCGCCGCGGUAAUACCUGCAGCUCAAGUGGUGACCGUUAUUAUUGGGCCUAAAACGUCCGUAGCCGGUUUAAUAAAUGCCUGGGUAAAUUGUGUAGCUUAACUAUACGAAUUCCGGGUAGACUGUUAAACUUGAGACCGGGAGAAGUUAGAGGUACUCCUGGGGUAGAGGUGAAAUUCUGUAAUCCUAGGGGGACCACCAGUGGCGAAGGCGUCUAACUAGAACGGGUCUGACGGUGAGGGACGAAGCCCUGGGGCGCAAACGGGAUUAGAUACCCGGGUAGU